UUCAUUCGGCUGUCCAGAUG
Molecule: microRNA, 20 nt
Filed under: Gorilla gorilla (western gorilla)
Lineage: Eukaryota; Metazoa; Chordata; Mammalia; Primates; Hominidae
Also listed under: 1 other name
Description: ggo-miR-1298
Source: miRBase by way of RNAcentral